This is a long non-coding RNA of Rosa chinensis, 527 nucleotides long. RefSeq lists it as uncharacterized. Lineage: Eukaryota; Viridiplantae; Streptophyta; Magnoliopsida; Rosales; Rosaceae. The transcript has 5 exons. The record is from RefSeq and is a predicted model, not a curated record.
CAAGAUCUCAUACUCGAUUCAGCAGGCGUUGAUUGGCCUCUCAGCUAUGUACGAAUCCAGCUGCCUAAUCUAAGAUUGGGAAGUGAAAAGUGAAAUCAGAAAGAAUGAGAGUAAGAAAAUAGGGAAGCUUGUUACCAUGUAGACCUAUGUCGGGCCACUUUCAUCCAAUUCCACCUAUGGUCUCCAUGGAACUGGAGAAUGGGAGUUUGAUUUUGCUGCUCUUGAAACUGAACUGUGGGAAGGCAAAGGGAGGAAGAUUUCAGAAGUGAAGGGUUUCCAUUCGGGCUGUUCAGUAUCUAUAGUUGUUUUCCAAUUCUAAUCAACUCUCCAUGGGAUGUCUGCUUUCAUCCAGUCAAUGAGAAAGUUUAUAUUGCCAUGGCUGGCCAACAUCAAAUUUGGCAACUUGAUACAGCUGAUGGGAUUACUAGAGCAUUUAGUGGUGAUGGUUAUGAAAGAAAUCUGAAUGGAUCAAGCUCUUCAAGCAUAUCAUUUGCACAGCCUUCUGGAAUUUUAUUAUCUCCUGGUAU